This 684-nucleotide ribosomal RNA is filed under the name Latilactobacillus curvatus. Its description in RNAcentral is "bacterial SSU rRNA". It matches the Rfam family "Bacterial small subunit ribosomal RNA", at positions 56 to 702 of the family's 1533-position model. The record is from RNAcentral. Lineage: Bacteria; Bacillati; Bacillota; Bacilli; Lactobacillales; Lactobacillaceae.
UGCAGUCGAACGCACUCUCGUUAGAUUGAAGAAGCUUGCUUCUGAUUGAUAACAUUUGAGUGAGUGGCGGACGGGUGAGUAACACGUGGGUAACCUGCCCUAAAGUGGGGGAUAACAUUUGGAAACAGAUGCUAAUACCGCAUAAAACCUAGCACCGCAUGGUGCAAGGUUGAAAGAUGGUUUCGGCUAUCACUUUAGGAUGGACCCGCGGUGCAUUAGUUAGUUGGUGAGGUAAAGGCUCACCAAGACCGUGAUGCAUAGCCGACCUGAGAGGGUAAUCGGCCACACUGGGACUGAGACACGGCCCAGACUCCUACGGGAGGCAGCAGUAGGGAAUCUUCCACAAUGGACGAAAGUCUGAUGGAGCAACGCCGCGUGAGUGAAGAAGGUUUUCGGAUCGUAAAACUCUGUUGUUGGAGAAGAACGUAUUUGAUAGUAACUGAUCAGGUAGUGACGGUAUCCAACCAGAAAGCCACGGCUAACUACGUGCCAGCAGCCGCGGUAAUACGUAGGUGGCAAGCGUUGUCCGGAUUUAUUGGGCGUAAAGCGAGCGCAGGCGGUUUCUUAAGUCUGAUGUGAAAGCCUUCGGCUCAACCGAAGAAGUGCAUCGGAAACUGGGAAACUUGAGUGCAGAAGAGGACAGUGGAACUCCAUGUGUAGCGGUGAAAUGCGUAGAUAUAUGGA